This 549-nucleotide ribosomal RNA is filed under the name uncultured archaeon. RNAcentral's name for it is "bacterial SSU rRNA". It matches the Rfam family "Archaeal small subunit ribosomal RNA", at positions 326 to 879 of the family's 1478-position model. The record is from RNAcentral.
CGGGGUGCAGCAGGCGCGAAAACUUUACAAUGCGGGAAACCGUGAUAGGGGAACUCCGAGUGCCCGUAAAAUCGGGCUGUCCAUUGGUUUAAAUAACCAGUGAAGAAAGGGCCGGGCAAGACCGGUGCCAGCCGCCGCGGUAAUACCGGCGGCUCGAGUGGUGGCCACUAUUACUGGGCUUAAAGCGUUCGUAGCUGGUUUGUUAAGUCUCUGGGGAAAUCUUCCGGCUUAACCGGAAGGCGUCUCAGGGAUACUGGCAGACUAGGGACCGGGAGAGGUGAGGGGUACUCCAGGGGUAGGAGUGAAAUCCUGUAAUCCUUGGGGGACCACCUGUGGCGAAGGCGCCUCACCAGAACGGCUCCGACAGUGAGGGACGAAAGCUGGGGGAGCAAACCGGAUUAGAUACCCGGGUAGUCCCAGCUGUAAACGAUGCGCGUUAGGUGUAUCGGUGACCACGAGUCACCGAGGUGCCGAAGAGAAAUCGUGAAACGUGCCGCCUGGGAAGUACGGUCGCAAGGCUGAAACUUAAAGGAAUUGGCGGGGGAGCAC